CACGUAGGGCGCAAGCGUUGUCCGGAAUUAUUGGGCGUAAAGAGCUCGUAGGCGGUCUGUUGCGUCCGCUGUGAAAACUCGGGGCUUAACCCCGAGCCUGCAGUGGAUACGGGCAGACUAGAGUGCGGUAGGGGAGAUUGGAAUUCCUGGUGUAGCGGUGGAAUGCGCAGAUAUCAGGAGGAACACCAAUGGCGAAGGCAGAUCUCUGGGCCGUAACUGACGCUGAGGAGCGAAAGCAUGGGGAGCGAACAGG
RNAcentral lists this ribosomal RNA (253 nucleotides) under uncultured bacterium. Its description in RNAcentral is "partial 16S ribosomal RNA". It matches the Rfam family "Bacterial small subunit ribosomal RNA", at positions 524 to 776 of the family's 1533-position model. The record is from RNAcentral.